RNAcentral lists this long non-coding RNA (3023 nucleotides) under Pomacea canaliculata. Its description in RNAcentral is "uncharacterized LOC112574855". The record is from RNAcentral. Lineage: Eukaryota; Metazoa; Mollusca; Gastropoda; Architaenioglossa; Ampullariidae.
UUUAAAUGUCGUCAUCAUCAUCAUCAUCAUCAUCAUCAUCAUCAUCAUCAUCAUCAUCAUCAUCCACCCGAUGCGACCCUGACUCAGUCCAAAAAGUUUUCGUUCUCGCUACCUGGACUGAGCCGAUGUCCAUUGCGCGCAAUGGGCAACGGUUGCCGGCAACCUACCUACUCAGCCGCAUCGUCUCACGAAUGACUACAAUAUUUAGUCAUUUAGAGUACGAUGAAAAACGCCGAAUUCAAGAUAGAACGACAGUAAAUACGAUUUUAAAAUGCCUUUUAUAAAGUUAUCAGAUGUAUUACGAAAGCAGAAGGAACAGGGAAGAAAAUUAGGGAAACACGAUCGAAUCGACCAUACGUAUAUUUGCUUACUGUCGAUUACCGAAGGGUCAACUCACAGCCUAUAGCAUUGAGAAAAUCUUUUAUUUUUGUAAAUUAUUUUUGUAAAUAAUGAAAUAGGAAAAUGUGCACACAAAGCUUUGCGGAUUUGUUGGUAUGGAAAGGUUGCUUAGAUGACGAUAUACCGUAUAGCGAAUUAAUGCCAGGGCGUCACUCCGUGUCGAUUUGUUUUCGUAAACACGACUAGAAAAGGUCGAAUCAAGGAUCGAACGACAGAAGAUACGAUUUUUAAUUCUUUUUAAAAAUGCAGCAGACGUUUUACAAAAGCAGAAUUAAUCAGCAAAAGGAUUAAACACAUCGGCAAACACGAAAUUGACAGAAUUCCUAUACGUGCUUGCAUCGUGUAACGAAGGGUCAACAACACAGGCUAUAGCACGGGGAAAAGUGCUUAUAUUUAUAAUAAAGAGAAAAAAUUGUCUAAAGAGCUUUGUGGAGUUUUUUAAUAUGUGAAAGUCUGUGUUGUUUUUAUUUUGAUGGGGAGUACGGGUGGGGGGACGUCAGUCAGUGUCAUUUGUUUUCCUUUUCCAAAGAGUUCCAAAACACGUCCAGAAUGCUUUCUAAAAAGUAUAGAGGCGGAUCACAAAAGCAGAAGGAAAAGGGGGAAAGUGAUAUAUUGUAUGCACUAUAAUACUAUAUUUUUAUCCUUAGUCUUUAAUGUGUGAUUUUUUUUUCUGGUACAAAGUUAGCAAGUAUUUUUUUGUAACUAGUCAUUUUAUUGAAGGGAGGAGUCAUUUCGAUGUUCUCUACUUAAAACAAAAUUAAAAAAAACCAAACCAAAAACUGAUUAUUUCGAAGAGUAAAAUUAAGAAAUAAAAUGAUACAAAUAGAUCAAACAUUUAUAAUAUCACCAAGAAGAAUUAAUGUCAAAGCUAAUGAAAACGAGAACCCCACUAAUUCGUGUCUCCCUGUUGUGAGCUCCUCCAUUAGUCUCGGUGCUUUUUUUUUUUUUAAAUUUUGUGAAGACGUGUGCACUUAAUCAAGCAUGCCUCGGAUAAGAAAGUGGUAUCCAGCUGGAUAUACCCUCUUUGUGCGUAAACUCGGGCAGGUUCGUAAACGUAAGGAACGAUUUUUCGCUGUGGAUGUGAGAGCUUGGAUGCGGCUCAAGAGAACUCUUCAACAGCGGCAAAAUGGACGUGUAAGCACCCAGACACAGGAGGAACGUGACAUCAUCCAGGAUAUUCUUCGAGAUAGCAACAAUGGAACCAGUUUUCAAAAGAACCACGGCUUUUAAUGUGUUCUGCAGCAAAAGGCUGAAGGAUCGGACAAAUACUAAUUCCUUAGAAGUUUCAUUAAAGGAAUUACCAAAGGCCAAAAGAACACGAGUCACAUGGGAUGCAAUGACAGUUUAAGCAUAAGAAAACAGUUUGGGGCCUCUUGGGGCCGUUGAUCACAUACCCACUUCAAUGGAAAUUGAAUAAAUUCGCCAGGACAAUCCAGUUUUGGCUAAAUUUUAUAUUAAUUCUUUGAUAUUAAUCAAAUUAACCAGAAAAUUUAUAAAAGUAGAAUGAAAAGAAAAUAACAUUUAUUAUUUAUGGUUUACAUUUGUGCAUAGCUUAGGAUUUACUUUAAAUUUAGUCAGAUAAGACAUAAUGAACCAUCUUGCAUGUUGUGACUUCUGGAUAUACAUACAAGUAUUGGCUCUUCAGUAACUGCAUUGGCUUUAGAGCAGAGUAGUGCUGAAUGAUUUUCCAUUGCAGUCCGAACAGCAGAUUGUAAAAUGUGAUUCAUAUUCACCAAGUCAGUACUGUCAUGUAUAUAUGGGAGUAAGUGUGCUGUUUUCUCUUUUCAUUUGUUUUAAAUUUGUAUUAAUAUAUUUCGCACAUUGUAAAAUUUCUUCUUCAAUGUGGACAUAAAAACAUUUCAUGGGAUUAAAAAGUGUAUGUCAGUUUUCAGAAAAAAUAUGCAGUUGAUGUCUUUUGUCUGUUUUGAAUGUGUCUCAAAGCAUGGAAAGGAAGUAAAUGUGUAACAAAAAAGUAUGGAUGGUGGAAAGAGGUCGAAGCCUUUAUCUGUAACUUUAAAACAGACUCAGUUUCCUCCUCCUCCUCCUCCUCCUUUUGACUGGUAAUUUCUUUCUGAUAAAAAAAAAACAGUUUUAGAACUGAUCUUGAUGUCAGAUCUUAAGGUGUGAUUUAAAAGAAAGACCGAAUAGCGCUGACAAAAAAAGAUAAUUCAAACAGCUGAUAAAUUGAAAACCAUUAUGCUUACACUAUUUCCGGCUUAAGAAGGACGGGGAAAACAUCAAAGGAUGAUUAAGAACCCUCAACCUUGUGUGGCUAUGAAUCCAGCUUUUAUUCUAGCGCCGCUUUGACAGUAUAUAAUACAGUAUCCAAUAACAGUAGAGCACAAAUUAGUAAAACAUAUCUAGGUAUGCUGCAUAACGACGGAAUAUUUAGCAAUUCAACUUGGCUUUAAUUACAUACUUGGCGUCUAUAUCCCCCACGGUGACCUCAUACAGCUUACUUUCCCUAAGCAACAUAUUAGUAUUUGGUCUCUUCUUGACCGAAACCGUCAAAUGAAACACGUGGAUCGCAACAGACACAGCAGCGAUUGACACAUUGAACAUGACUUACAGAAGCACUAUCAUACAGUUUGCUACAUAGUACGGAUGCCGAAGUUUAGUCUAGU